GUGGGGAAUCUUCCGCAAUGGACGAAAGUCUGACGGAGCAACGCCGCGUGAGUGAAGAAGGUUUUCGGAUCGUAAAGCUCUUUCGUUAGGAACGAACGUGCUCUUUGUGAAUAAUGAGGAGUAAUGACGGUACCUAAAUAAGAAGCCACGGCUAACUACGUGCCAGCAGCCGCGGUAAUACGUAGGUGGCAAGCGUUGUCCGGAAUUAUUGGGCGUAAAGCGCGCGCAGGCGGGAUAUCAAGUCUGUCUUAAAAGUGCGAGGCUCAACCUCGUGAGGGGACAGAAACUGGUAUUCUUGAGUGUCGGAGAGGAAAGUGGAAUUCCAAGUGUAGCGGUGAAAUGCGUAGAGAUUUGGAAGAACACCAGUGGCGAAGGCGACUUUCUGGACGAUGUCUGACGCUGAGGCGCGAAAGCUAGGGGAGCGAACGGGAUUAGAAACCCUGGUAGUCC
This 450-nucleotide ribosomal RNA is filed under the name uncultured bacterium. RNAcentral's name for it is "partial 16S ribosomal RNA". It matches the Rfam family "Bacterial small subunit ribosomal RNA", at positions 354 to 796 of the family's 1533-position model. The record is from RNAcentral.